This 75-nucleotide transfer RNA is filed under the name Chloroflexota bacterium. Its description in RNAcentral is "Chloroflexi bacterium tRNA-Lys". Lineage: Bacteria; Bacillati; Chloroflexota. The record is from RNAcentral.
GCCCCGGCCGACUCUGGCUGGGGCAAGAGCCUCUUAAUCCCUUGGUUACAGGUUCGAGUCCUGUGCGGGUCACCU